GAUGAACGCUGGCGGCGUGCUUAACACAUGCAAGUCGAACGAAGCAUUUAAGACAGAUUACUUCGGUUUGAAGUCUUUUAUGACUGAGUGGCGGACGGGUGAGUAACGCGUGGGUAACCUGCCUCAUACAGGGGGAUAGCAGCUGGAAACGGCUGGUAAUACCGCAUAAGCGCACAGUACCACAUGGUACAGUGUGAAAAACUCCGGUGGUAUGAGAUGGACCCGCGUCUGAUUAGCUUGUUGGCGGGGUAACGGCCCACCAAGGCGGCGAUCAGUAGCCGACCUGAGAGGGUGACCGGCCACAUUGGGACUGAGACACGGCCCAGACUCCUACGGGAAGCAGCAGUGGGGAAUAUUGCACAAUGGAGGAAACUCUGAUGCAGCGACGCCGCGUGAGUGAAGAAGUAGUUCGCUAUGUAAAGCUCUAUCAGCAGGGAAGAUAGUGACGGUACCUGACGAAGAAGCUCCGGCUAAAUACGUG
Molecule: ribosomal RNA, 481 nt
Filed under: uncultured bacterium
Lineage: Bacteria
Description: partial 16S ribosomal RNA
Rfam family: Bacterial small subunit ribosomal RNA
Source: RNAcentral